GAAGAGGAUGGAACCUUAGGGAGGAAGAAAAAGCAAGUUGCGAUGAUAGCUUGAAACUUGAAAGAAAAGCAAACUUGGUCGGAAGCAUUAGGCAUGUCACUCCCAUUGCCUUGUGAAACCAAGAAUUAUGUGAUCAUAUAUCAAAAUCAAGGGUCUACCUGUUAGACCAAGUCAAUCUUAUCCCAAACUAAUCUCUGCAACAAACUCUUCAUAGGAUAAGAUUGCUAGGUCCGGGUUUCAGUUUUGAAUAAUCCAAAGAUAAGUUGUUAUGAUUUUGUAUUUUUGAAUUCAAAGUUAUCCGUGUAAAUAGGGUAUUCAAAACCCUACUUGUAAUCUGAAAGUAUUGUAUAAAUACACUGCUACCCAUCGUUAUAUGGGUGUGCAAUCAAAAGCUGAAAACCCUAGUGCUCUAAGUUUAACAUGGUAUUGAGCCCUACAGUCUAAACGACAAACGAUCCAAUUUUUUUUUCCCACCCAUUGUCGCUUCCAUGGCUGCCACCAACAACACCAACAACACCAACUCCACCACUCACAUCAAUCCUUCCCCCCUACCCGCUGCUCAUUCCUCCAUCACCUCUAUGACUAGUGUGGUGAAUAUCAAACUUGACCGCUCGAAUUAUCCGCUUUGGCUUGCUCAGAUUCUGCCUGUUCUCAAGAGCCGUGACCUGAUGGGUUACGUUGAUGGCUCCAUUUUGUGUCCUCCUAAGACUCUGGCUGGCACCACUGACGUUAACCCAGCCUACAUGACUUGGAUUCAACAUGAUCAGAUGAUUCUCAGUUGGAUCAACAGCUCUCUCACUGCUUCUGUUUUGUCGACAGUAGCAAGCAAACGCACGUGCCGUGCAACCUGGGAAGCAUUGGAACAGCGGUAUGCGUCAACUUCCCAGAAUCGUAUAUUGUUUCUGCGUACAGAACUGCUGCAGACGAAGAAAGGUGACCUCUCUGUAGCUGACUACUUGGAUCGUAUGAAUGCGAUCGCCGACAACCUUGCUUUGGCCGGACAACCAGUAAGUGAUGAUGAACUGGUUCAAAUUAUUUUAAAUAACCUUGGUCCUGCGUUCGAGAUGACUGUGAAUGCAGCACAAGCUCGUGAUACUCCAAUCACUUAUCCAACACUUGAAGCUCUUCUGCUGACAACGGAGAGACGAAUGACGGAGCAAGCUGUGGUGACUGAAACUGCUCCGAUCAAUGCUUUUGUAACGUCACGAGGCCGUGGUGGUCGCUCUCGUGGCAAUGGACGUGGAGGCUCUUCGUUCAAUCGUGGUGGUGCCAUCAACAAUGGCAAUCAACGAGUUGGUAUGCCUCGUAACAACAACAAUCCACGUGGUGGUGCGCCUGCAAGUACUGGUGACCGGUGCAACCUUUCUGGAGAACGCAUCAAAUGCCAAAUUUGUGGCAAACCUGGCCAUCCGGCUCUGGACUGUUACCAGCGGAUGAAUACAGCCUAUGAAGGACGCAUCCCCACCAAUCGUCUUGCUGCCAUGGCGUCUUCUCAAGUGAUGCCUAAUAAUGGAAAUUGGCUUCUUGACACGGGUGCCAAUGCUCAUGUCACCCCAGACCUUCAGAAUCUUGCAAAUCCAAAAGAAUACACUGGUAAUGACAACAUUGGUGGAGUAGGUAAUGGUUCUCAAAUUUCCAUUGCACAUUCUGGUUCGAAUCAAAUUUCAACUAAGUCUUGCUCAUUUAACCUCCAUGACAUUUUACAUUGUCCAUCCGCAUCCACUAAUAUUAUUUCGGCACACAGAUUCACCCUAGAUAACCAUUGCUAUAUACUGAUAUUUCCUUAUUUUUUCCUUGUUAAGGACCUCAAAACCCGGAAGACGCUUUUCCGCGGGAGAUGUGAGAAUGGAUUGUAUCCAUUUCCUGGUGGCGGUGGAUUGUCCAACUAUCCUAUUUCAGUGUGUGUCGGUGUUAGAGUCUCACCCCAGAAAUGGCAUUUACGUCUUGGUCAUCCUGCUUCGUCAAUUAUUAAAUUUUUGAUUGCAAAUAACCAAGUACCAUCAUCUGGUACAAGUACUGUAACGUUUUGUGACUCUUGUCCAUUAGGCAAAAGCACUAAACUUCCCUUUACCAAGUCUGUGUCCGUGUCUUAUUGUCCAUUAGAACUUUUGCAUUCAGAUGUUUGGAGUUCACCUAUUAUUUCUAAUGAAGGUUUUCGUUAUUACGUGUUGUUUGUGGAUGACUACUCACGAUAUUCGUGGAUCUUUCCCAUGAAAAAUAAAUCUGAAGUAUUUGGAAUUUUUGUGACAUUUAAAACACAUGUUGAAAAAAUGUUUAACAAAUCUAUUAAAGCUCUUCAAUGUGAUGAAGGUGGUGAAUACAUGAGUCGCGAUUUCAAAACUUUUCUUGCUACACAUGGGAUUUCCCAACGUUUUUCGUGUCCAAAACAUCCUGAACAAAAUGGAAUUGCCGAGCGAAAGCAUCGUCAUAUAGUUGAAACUAGUGUUACAAUGCUUUCUCAUGCUCAUAUGCCUCAAACAUUUUGGUUCGAUGCAUGUUCCACAGCUGUUUAUAUUAUAAACAGGCUUCCAACAAAGGUUUUAUCUAACGUGUCUCCCUAUGAAAAAGUGUUUCAAAAGAAUCCAAAAUAUGAGGCAUUUAAAGUGUUUGGUUCAAAAAUGUUUUCCACUGUUGACUCCGUAUACACGGCAUAAACUUCAACCAAAGUCCAAACCAUGUGUUUUUUAGGAUAUUCACUGAAUCAUGAAGGAUACAAGUGCUUGGACUUAUCCACGAGACGCAUCUACGUGUCUCGCCAUGUUUUAUUUGAUGAGGAUUCCUUUCCUUUCAAGGAACUUGCAUCUCCCAAGGAAGCCGUCACUAUCACAGGUACAUCGUUGACCCCUGAUUUGAUUUUAACCACUACACCCUCAUCACCCUUAGUACCAUCCAUAUCUUCACCAAAUCGUGUCGAGUCUCAUCCUAGCCUCAACCACCAACCUGAGUCAAACUUGGUGUCUACUGAUCAGCCGCAUAUCACGCCACCUUUUCCUCCCCAACAACCUGUUUCAAAUUUGGACCUUACUCCUCAUCCACCUAUCCCUACCAUCCCGUGUUUAAAUAGGACACCUCAACCUAGUUCCACAUUAGGUCCCACCGAUGAGCAAGACUUGGUUCACCUUCCAUCUGUACAAAGUUCUCAGAAUCCUUCUCAUUCAACAACUUUAUCUACCACCUCAUCUUCCAUACGAGAGCCUACUCUCCCCCACUCCAUAACAAACAAGGUCAAAAUCUGGGAUUCAAAAGCCAAAUCCAAAAUAUGCUUUGCAUGCAAUCGCUGACUCCAAGUUUGUUGAGCCGUCUUGUUUUAGUCAGGCUAUCAAAUAUCCAGAAUGGAGGGCAGCAAUGGCACAAGAGUUCAGUGCUUUGCAAAGGUGUGGAACGUGGACGCUUGUUCCAUAUUGUCCUGGGAUGAACCUGCUGCCAAACAAAUGGGUGUUUUUAAAAUCAAGAGACGUGCCGAUGGUUCUCUCGAACGUCACAAGGCUCGACUUGUGGCUAACGGUUACCAUCAGCAAUCCGGAGUGGAUUUAUAAUGAAACGUUUAGUCCGGUCGUGAAACACAGCACCAUUCGGCUUGUUUUGAGUCUUGCAGUGUCGAAGAAGUGGACGGUGCGACAGUUGGAUGUACAGAAUGCAUUCUUGCAUGGCUAUUUGGAUGAGGCUGUCUACAUGAAACAGCCGCCCGGUUUUCUUGAUCAGCAGUAUCCCCAUUAUGUGUGUAAAUUGCAGAGAAGUUUGUAUGGAUUAAAACAGGCUCCCAGAGCCUGGUUUCGAAGAUUCUCGGAUUAUCUGCUUCAACUUGGGUUUGAAGAAUCAUUAUGUGAUUAUUCAUUGUUCGUGUUUAAUCAACGAGGUGUUUACUUGAUCUUACUUAUCUAUGUGGAUGACAUUCUUCUUACAGGCAAUAAUGAUCAACAAAUGCAAUGGUUGAUAGAGAAGCUCGGCACUUUGUUUUCUAUGAAGGACUUAGGUCCCUUAAGUUAUUUUUUGGGUGUCGAGGUUACUUAUUCUGGGGGAGAAUAUGCAUCUUACACAAUCCAAGUAUGCAUUGGAUCUGCUGGAGCGCACCAAGUUUACUGCUGUCAAACCAGUAUCCACUCCUGUACCUGCGGGACACAAGAUCAGUCAGUAUGAUGGUGAACCUUAUUCUAAUCCAGAACAAUAUCGAACGGUUGUUGGAGCGCUCCAAUACUUGACGAUCACCAGACCCGAUCUUUCUUAUGCUGUGAACCAGGUUUGCCAGUUCAUGCAUAUGCCUCGGACUACACAUUGGAUGGCGGUUAAGAGGGAUUUUGCGGUAUUUAAAGGCCACACAUGAUCACGGUCUUGUCUACAAACCUGGUGAUGUUCGGUUAAAUGCCUUCUCUGAUGCUGAUUAUGCGGGAAAUCCGGACACACGUCAUUCAACUGGUGGCUUCUGUAUCUAUUUGGGCACGAAUUUGAUUUCCUGGAGUUCAAAGAAACAGAAGACUGUCUCAAGAUCUAGCACAGAGGCUGAGUAUAGGCAGCUUGCUUAUACUGCAGCUGAGUUGUCAUGGUUAGGAAGUUUGUUUCGUGAUCUACAUCUCUAUCUUCCACGACCGCAUAUAUGGUGUGAUAAUGUUUCGUCCAUUGCUUUGGCUUCCAAUCCAGUUUUUCAUGCCCGGACGAAACACUUGGAAGUGGACUACCAUUAUGUACGAGAGAAGGUGGUCCGUGGACAGCUUUUGGUUCAUUUUAUUUGUUCCCAAGACCAGAUUUGCCGAUUUGUUCACCAAGGGUCUUUCCUCUUCACGCUUCAACUUGUUAGUUUCCAAGCUUCCCGUCGUUGCUCGACCUGUCAGCUUGCGGGGGGAUGUUAGACCAAGUCAAUCUUAUCCCAAACUAAUCUCUGCAACAAACUCUUCAUAGGAUAAGAUUGCUAGGUCCGGGUUUCAGUUUUGAAUAAUCCAAAGAUAAGUUGUUAUGAUUUUGUAUUUUUGAAUUCAAAGUUAUCCGUGUAAAUAGGGUAUUCAAAACCCUACUUGUAAUCUGAAAGUAUUGUAUAAAUACACUGCUACCCAUCGUUAUAUGGGUGUGCAAUCAAAAGCUGAAAACCCUAGUGCUCUAAGUUUAACACUACCAAGGUCUAGAUGUGUCAAAAUUAUUCAUGGACCACAUCCACAUAUGGAUGAUAACUGAUAAGAUCAAUCGUACAAGUAUAA
RNAcentral lists this long non-coding RNA (5186 nucleotides) under Malus domestica (apple). RNAcentral's name for it is "long non-coding RNA (MDOM_LNC001275)". Lineage: Eukaryota; Viridiplantae; Streptophyta; Magnoliopsida; Rosales; Rosaceae. The record is from RNAcentral.